GACGAACGCUGGCGGCGUGCUUAACACAUGCAAGUCGAACGGAAAGACCCUGCUUUUGUGGGGUGCUCGAGUGGCGAACGGGUGAGUAACACGUGAGUAACCUGCCCUUGACUUUGGGAUAACUUCAGGAAACUGGGGCUAAUACCGGAUAGGAGCCCCUGCUGCAUGGUGGGGGUUGGAAAGUUUCGGCGGUUGGGGAUGGACUCGCGGCUUAUCAGCUUGUUGGUGGGGUAGUGGCUUACCAAGGCUUUGACGGGUAGCCGGCCUGAGAGGGUGACCGGCCACAUUGGGACUGAGAUACGGCCCAGACUCCUACGGGAGGCAGCAGUGGGGAAUAUUGCACAAUGGGCGGAAGCCUGAUGCAGCAACGCCGCGUGCGGGAUGACGGCCUUCGGGUUGUAAACCGCUUUCGCCUGUGACGAAGCGUGAGUGACGGUAAUGGGUAAAGAAGCACCGGCUAACUACGUG
Molecule: ribosomal RNA, 468 nt
Filed under: uncultured bacterium
Lineage: Bacteria
Description: partial 16S ribosomal RNA
Rfam family: Bacterial small subunit ribosomal RNA
Source: RNAcentral